CUUGAACGCUGGCGGCAGGCCUAACACAUGCAAGUCGAACGGUACCACAGAGAGCUUGCUCUCGGGUGACGAGUGGCGGACGGGUGAGUAAUGUCUGGGAAACUGCCUGAUGGAGGGGGCUAACUACUGGAAACGGUAGCUAAUACCGCAUAACGUCGCAAGACCAAAGAGGGGGAACUUCGGGCCUCUUGCCAUCAGAUGUGACCAGAUGGGAUUAGCUAGGAGUUGGGGUAACGGCUCACCUAGGCGACGAACCCUAGCUGGUCGGAGAGGAUGACCAGCCACACUGGAACUGAGACACGGUCCAGACUCCUACGGGAGGCAGCAGUGGGGAAUAUUGCACAAUGGGCGCAAGCCUGAUGCAGCCAUGCCGCGUGUAUGAAGAAGGCCUUCGGGUUGUAAAGUACUUUCAGCGGGGAGGAAGGCGAUAAGGUUAAUAACCUUGUCGAUUGACGUUACCCGCAGAAGAAGCACCGGCUAACUCCGUGCCAGCCGCCGCAGUAA
RNAcentral lists this ribosomal RNA (504 nucleotides) under uncultured bacterium. Its description in RNAcentral is "partial 16S ribosomal RNA". It matches the Rfam family "Bacterial small subunit ribosomal RNA", at positions 30 to 523 of the family's 1533-position model. The record is from RNAcentral.